RNAcentral lists this ribosomal RNA (253 nucleotides) under uncultured bacterium. RNAcentral describes it as "partial 16S ribosomal RNA". It matches the Rfam family "Bacterial small subunit ribosomal RNA", at positions 524 to 776 of the family's 1533-position model. The record is from RNAcentral.
UACGGAGGGUGCAAGCGUUGUCCGGAUUUAUUGGGUUUAAAGGGUGCGUAGGCGGCUUCUUAAGUCUGGGGUGAAAGCCCGUUGCUCAACAACGGAACUGCCCUGGAAACUGGGGAGCUUGAGUACAGACGAGGGCGGCGGAAUGGAUGCUGUAGCGGUGAAAUGCAUAGAUAGCAUCCAGAACCCCGAUUGCGAAGGCAGCUGCCUAGGCUGUAACUGACGCUGAGGCACGAAAGCUAGGGGAGCGAAUGGG